UUCCCUUUUUCGAGUUCAAGUAUACGAAGUACAGUUUAUAGUCUAGUUAGCGCCGGUUAUAGCCUGUUCGGCCCUAGUCAAUUCUUUCUUACAAGCUUAAUUCAGAGAAGCACCCGUGUCAUUCCUAUAGGUAAUAGUAUCAUUUUCUUUGGAUAAAGCAAAGACAGGUAAGGUGUAAGUAAGGAUCCGGCUCCGUAGUUAUAGAAUCGAAGAAGCAAGUAUGCGACUUAAAGCAAAGGUCGGGGGGCAGGCUCCUAACAAGGAGAUAAGGUCGGUAAAGCAAGAGUAGUUGGCCGGUAGGGCAGCUUUUUAGUCAGUAAUGGGUUAUGCGUUUGCCUAUUAUCUGUUAUGCGUUUGCCUAUUAUCUGUAUAAGUGACUAUCGCUAUUGGUACGAUUCGGAGUAGAGAAUAUAGGUAUGAUCCAGCAACCGCAAAAGG
This 438-nucleotide long non-coding RNA is filed under the name Musa acuminata (dwarf banana). RNAcentral's name for it is "long non-coding RNA (MACU_LNC010189)". The record is from RNAcentral. Lineage: Eukaryota; Viridiplantae; Streptophyta; Magnoliopsida; Zingiberales; Musaceae.